ACCUGGCCCUGCAGGCUGAUUUUGACAGUGUUGCAGAAGAUGUGAGGAAGCUGAAAACAAGACCAGAUGAGGAAGGACUGAAACAACUCUAUGGGCUUUAGAAACAAGCUAUAACUGGGGACAUUAAUAUUGAGUGUUCAGGAAUGCUAGAUUUAAAAGGCAAGGCCAAAUGAGAAGCAUUGAAUUUCCAAAAUGGGAUAUCAAAGGACAAUGUGAUGAGUAUAUAUAUAUAUACAUAUAUUUUUUUUUUGAGACAGAGUCU
This 262-nucleotide long non-coding RNA is filed under the name Homo sapiens (human). RNAcentral describes it as "non-protein coding lnc-RRM1-8:1". The record is from RNAcentral. Lineage: Eukaryota; Metazoa; Chordata; Mammalia; Primates; Hominidae.